Oryctolagus cuniculus (rabbit) is the source of this 20060-nucleotide non-coding RNA. NCBI's taxonomy places the organism in Eukaryota, Metazoa, Chordata, Mammalia, Lagomorpha, Leporidae. The record is from RefSeq and is a predicted model, not a curated record.
GCCGCCGCUGCCGCCGCCGCCGCCGCCGCCGCCUCUCGCCGGCGGUCGCCCCUCCUCCUCCUCCUCCUCCUCCUGCGCUCGGGCGCUGGUCCCUCCUCUCCCGAUGCCGCGAGAGACUGGGGGGUACGGCAGAGCCGGAGAAGAGCACUAGUAACAACCACCACAGCCCCCUCCCCGCCCGACACCCUCCCUCGGCACCCACCCACUCCCCCGCCCCGUUUGCCGACACCGACCAACCCCACCUCUCGUUCCUUUGAACGGCGUCGGCUGCAGUCGCUGCACCAGCCCGUCUGGCCACCAACGCCGCCGAGAAAGGAGCCGUCGCCGCCGCCUGCGGCCCCCUCCCGCCCGGCCGCGGGAGCCAGCGGGGUGAGGACGAGCCGGCUGCGGAGGAAGAGGACGAGGGAGGCUCGCACCCUCUGCUCCAGCGCAAGUCCCGCCGCCCUCCGGGGAGGUUCGGGCGCCGGCCCCUUCCUCCCCGAGGACGUGUGCCGAGCCGAGGCGACUGCCCUGAGGGAGGAAAAUGCUCGGGCUCCAUGGCUGCCAGUGAUGGAGCGGUCCCUGGGCUCCCGCUGCCACCACCACCGCCGCCGCCGCCGCCGCGCCCCGGCCGUGCUCCGCGAGGACCCGGCGUCUCUGCGCGCCCGCCCGCGCCUCGUUGCUGGGCUCACCGUACCGGGCGCCCCGCCGCCGCCCCGCUCGCAGCCGCGCCGCCCGGGCCCCAGCCGCGGCCAGCGUUUCCUCCCGGAGCAGCCGCCGCGAGCCCAGGGGCUCGCCCGCGAAGGCAGGAGCGGCCGGCGCCUUCGGCUGAGGAGGAGGAGGAGGAGGAGAAGGAGGAAUCGCGCCGGGCGGAGCGUCAGGUCCCGUUUUCCUCUCCGGCGUCUCGCAUACAAAGAUUACGGUGCAGAAGGAAAUUGCACUCGCCUCCUCCGCCCCCCGGUACCCAACACAAUGCACCAGCCGCCUGAGUCCACCGCCGCCGCCGCGGCGGCCGCCGCAGACAUUAGUGCUAGGAAGAUGGCGCACCCGGCAAUGUUCCCUCGAAGGGGCAGCGCUGGUGGCAGCGCCUCUGCUCUCAGUGCAGCAGGUACUGGCAUCGGGAGUAAUGCCACAUCUUCCGAGGAUUUUCCGCCGCCCUCGCUGCUCCAGCCGCCGCCUCCUGCAGCAUCUUCCUCGUCGGGACCACAGCCUCCGCCUCCACAAAGCCUGAACCUCCUCUCGCAGGCUCAGCUGCAGGCACAGCCUCUUGCGCCAGGCGGAACUCAAAUGAAAAAGAAAAGUGGCUUCCAGAUAACUAGCGUCACUCCGGCUCAGAUCUCCGCCAGUAUCAGCUCUAACAACAGUAUAGCGGAGGAUACAGAGAGCUAUGACGAUCUGGAUGAAUCUCACACGGAAGACCUCUCUUCCUCCGAGAUCCUUGAUGUGUCACUUUCCAGGGCUACUGACUUGGGGGAGCCUGAGCGCAGCUCCUCGGAGGAGACUCUGAAUAACUUCCAGGAAGCCGAGACGCCUGGCGCGGUCUCUCCCAAUCAGCCCCACCUUCCACAACAGAGUGUUGUGAUCAAUGGGAAUGCUCAUCCACACCACCUCCAUCACCACCAUCACAUUCAUCACGGGCACCACCUCCACCAUGGGCACCACCACCCAUCCCAUGCUGCUGUGGCCAGUGCAUCCAUUCCUGGAGGGCCACCCUCAAGCCCUGUAUCCAGAAAACUCUCCACAACUGGAAGCUCUGACGGUGUUGCACCAGUUGCACCAGCUUCUGCUGUAUCAUCGAGUGGCUCACCUGCAUCUGUAAUGACUAAUAUCCGUGCCCCCAGCACUGCAGGCGGUAUAGGUAUAAAUUCUGUUACUGGCACUAAUACAGUGAAUAAUGUUAACAUUGCUGCUGUGGGUAGUUUCAGUCCUAAUGUGACAAGCAGCGUGCUGGGGAGUGCUAAUAUAAGUGCAAGCAAUAUUCCUAGUGCUGCUAGUGUGAGUGUUGGGCCUGGAGUUCCUAGUGGUGUUAAUGUAAAUAUCUUGAGUGGCAUGGGCAAUGGUACUGUUUCUUCUUCUGCUGUUGUUAACAGUGUCCCUGGUGCAGCUGCAGGAAUGACUGUGGGAUUGGUGUCAAGUCAGCAGCAACAGCCAACCGUUAACACAUCAAGGUUCAGAGUGGUGAAGUUAGAUUCUAGUUCUGAACCCUUUAAAAAAGGUAGAUGGACUUGCACUGAGUUCUAUGAAAAAGAAAACGCUGUACCUGCUACUGAAGGCGUGGCGAUAAAUAAAGUGGUGGAGACUGUAAGACAGAACCCGGUAGAAGUGUCUUCUGAGCGAGAGAGCACUAGUGGGAGUUCAGUGAGCAGUAGCGUCAGCACACUGAGUCACUACACAGAGAGUGUGGGAAGUGGAGAGAUGGGAACCCCUACAGUGGUGGUGCAGCCGCAACAGCAGCAGCCGCCACCACCACCAGCCCUUCAAGGUGUGGCCCUCCAACAAAUGGAUUUCAGUAGCGCCGGUCCACAGAGCAUUUCUCAGCCGCAGAUGUCGCAAGUACAAUUACAGUCUCAAGAACUGAGCUAUCAGCAAAAGCAAGGUCUUCAACCAGUACCUCUGCAAGCCACCAUAAAUGCUGCAACUGGUAUCCAGCCAUCGCCUGUAAACGUGGUUGGUGUAACUUCAGCUUUAGGUCAGCAGCCUUCCAUUUCUAGUUUGGCUCAACCCCAACUGCCAUAUUCCCAGACGGCUCCCCCAGUGCAAACUCCUCUUCCAGGGGCACCACCCCAGCAGUUACAAUAUGGACAACAUCAACCAAUGGUUUCUACACAGUUGGCCCCAGGCCAUGGUCAACCAGUGACUCAGAAUCCUACUUCAGAGUAUGUACAACAGCAGCCGAUGCUUCAGACAGCCAUGUCUUCUGGACAGCCCAGUUCUGCAGGAGUGGGAGCAGGAGCAACAGUGAUUCCUGUGGCUCAGCCACCGGGUAUCCAGCUGCCAGUGCAGCCCAUAGCAGUCCAAGCACAACCUGCAGGGGCAUCUAGCCAGCCUGUUGGCCAGGCUCAGACAGCAGUGUCUGCUGUACCUGCUGGCAGUCAAAUGGCAAAUGUUGGUCAACAAGCAAACAUACCUACCGCAGUGCAGCAGCCCUCUACCCAAGUUACACCUUCAGUUAUUCAGCAAGGUGCUCCUCCAUCUUCACAAGUAGUUCCACCUGCUCAAACUGGGAUUAUCCAUCAGGGAGUUCAAACUAGCGCUUCAAGCCUUCCUCAACAAUUGGUUAUUGCACCCCAAAGUACCUUGUUAACUGUGCCUCCCCAGCCACAAGGAGUAGAACCAGUAGCUCAAGGAGUGUCACAGCAGUUGCCUGCAGUUAGUCCUUUGCCCUCUGCUAGUAGUAUUUCUGUUACCAAUCAGGUUAGUUCAACUGGUCCUUCUGGAAUGCCUUCCGCCCCAACAAACUUGGUUCCACCACAGAAUAUAGCACAAACCCCUGCCACCCAAAAUGGUAAUUUGGUUCAAAGUGUUAGUCAACCUCCCUUGAUAGCAACUAAUAUAAAUUUGCCCUUGGCACAGCAGAUACCACUAAGUUCUGCGCAGUUCUCUGCACAAUCGUUAGCUCAGGCAAUUGGAAGCCAAAUUGAAGAUGCCAGGCGCCCAGCGGAGCCCUCCUUAGUUGGCUUACCUCAAACUCUCAGUGGUGACAGUGGGGGAAUGUCAGCAGUUUCAGAUGGGAGUAGCAGCAGCCUAGCAGCCUCUGCUUCUCUUUUCCCGUUGAAGGUGCUACCGCUGACGACACCCCUGGUGGAUGGUGAAGAUGAGAGCUCUCUAUUUCAGUGCUUCUCUCCUACCAGAGGUGCAAGGAGUGAUCCUAGAACCACAGAUACAGCCAAGACCACGGAGAGCUUUUGACGUCAGGGGUCCACUUUCUCCACUGAACCCUUGGAGACAGAAUAUCCAGCUUCUGGAGAGAGUGGGAAAGGAUAAUAAACAAACAGCCAAAGCAAUGGAUGAUUUGGGCACAUGAUUCGGUGAAUGCCUAUGUAGUCCACAGGAAUUUUGAAAAGGGGAUAUUCACCUAUUUGGCCUUUAUGGUAUGAGUGGACUUUAAACUACUCUUUUACAUUUUAGUAAUUGAAAACUUUCUGUUUUUCAUUUUUGGGCAAACAAGACAUCUGGUCUUUUAAUUUAUAUAGUCAGAUGUCCAGGUGUUAUCCUGCACUGUUAGAACUUUUUGGUAUUUUCCUACCCCAAACAUUAGGACUUAAUAUUUGAUAUUUUAAAAGAUGCAAUGAUAGUACCAUUAUGGUUUUACUGUCAAAUCUAGGCUUCAUUCUUUAAUAGAGUAAAUAUGAAUGAUUAUAAGUUUCAGGAUAUAAUAACCCUGAAAGCUAUGUUUAAUAUACUCAAAAGCCGUUUUUCUUGUCCCUAGGAAUAAUAUUUGUGGCAAAAGAGCCCUUUCCCUAGAUUUUCCCCAUGGCAUUAAGAUGAUUUUCUCUUAGUUUCUCUGAUGCCGAGGGUAGGAUUUGAUUCCAGGAAGUUCUUAUCUACAGUGGGUAGACUGUGAACUUGGUGCUUUUGGCAAGUUUUCAUUUUUCCUUGGUGGAUUCCUUCUGUGACUCCAGGUAUCUUGAUAAUGGGAGACUGGUUUAUUUGUUCUCUAAUUGCCCAGAUUUCUUUCAACUGGUAAAACAUCAUACUUCAGCAAAAGGAAUUCUUCUAGCAGAGCCUUCAUGGAUGAUAUCUGUCAGACAUGCCAGCAUCUGCAGUUUGGAAGGCAGUGGUGAAUGGACCCAUGCACUAUGUCUAGAAGACACAAGAAUGAGCGAGCCACCUGAUCUUGUCAUUUAUAAACUUUAAGAUCUACUCUGGUUUAUUUACUCUUGGUCUGAACAUGGAAAGGCUCAAAUAAUCUUUUCAUAUUGGAAUUUUACAUGGUCAUGAAAAUAUGUCUUUCUAUUUAGAAGACUGAAAUAGAGGCAGCUUGAGAGACUCCUUUCUUUAAAGCAGCUCUCUGUAUCUGUUCCAUUUAAAGGACUUCCAGGAUUUAAAAUCACCUUAGUGAAGUAGGCAGACUUUUUUAAAGCACUAUAGGAAAUCCAGAGAACAUAAUGAAUUGUUUUAUUACACUGAAAGAAAUUAAUAAAUCAAGGGUGAACUUCUUAAUUAUUCCAGAAUUACUUUUAAUAUUAGGAUAUACUCUUCAAGCUCAUCUUUUGCUGUUCUUGAGCCUUAUUCUUACUGUAUUUCUCAAGUCAACAGAAUGUAAUAUAGAAAUAAAAGAGACAUCAGAGUCAGAGUAGCGUGGUCUGUCUUCUGAAGUCCUAAAUACCUGUUAAACUUGAAGUAUUGUUCUGCACUGAAGGCAUACUAAGUCUCAAUGAUGCUGUCACAAAGCAGCAGUUAAUAGAGCAAAGGCAGUUAGCAUUAGAAUAAGCCUAUAAGUGUGAAUAAGUGUUACAAAAUAGUUAUCUAAACUGUCCAUUGAUUGAUAAAAGCAGUUAACAAAAUGUUUUAUUUCUCUGGUAUCUAUUAACUGGUCAGUCAAAAGCUAUUAAUGAAACUUUUCAAAGUAUUCUGAUGCUGCCAGUUUCUUUUAUUUUGAUAUAAAUUUUAAGAAUUGAAGUCAUAGUUAUUAAUAUGGAAGCAAGUAAGAUGUUUUAGAAAUCUCACAGAUUUUUAAAAGCCACAUUUGCUAAAAUUUCACCUGAUCUUUAAUCUUUCUUGGCUAUCUAUGAGACGUAUUUUUUUCCUCAUUAAUUAUAAAUAAGAUUUUGUAAGAAUAGUACUUAAAAGUAAGUUUAAAAGAUCCAUUUGAUCUAAAAUUUCCCUGGAGAGCUCUGAAUUCCCAUAAAUGGUUACAGGUUUUUAUUCCUGACUUUUGUUACAUGUUAAUAUGACAGUUGAUUUACAAGCAUAUAAAUUAAAAAAACAGCUACCCAACAUUUUAGAAAGAACUUACAGAACUGAAAGUGAAAUUUGCUUGGAAAUUUAAUGGGUUGAGUUCUUUGAACCGCAGUACAAACCAUUUUAUAUGGCCUAUGAGAUUAUUAGCUUUUUGUUUUAGCUUUGAAGAUGAAAAGUGAUUUAAUCUUUUAAUCUCAUGCUUUGAUUAAAUUUUAGCUUUGUUCCUUUAAAGUGUGCAAAAGAAAUGUAAGUGCAUUUCUAUUUACCUCAUGCCACUAAAAGCUAUUUAAAAGUGAAACUUUUUGUAUAUUAUUGUGAACUGAUUUGUUUAUUUAAACUUUUAUUUUGAUGCGUUUUUCUUUCAGUUUUUUAUAUUUCGUGUCACAAUAUGCAGUUCUAUAUUUUUCAAUGUUUUCUGAAUAUUAACGUAAGCUAAUUUUUUUCUAGAAUGACUAAUUGUGUAAUAUUUGUAUUUGUGAUCAUUUGAAAACUAAUAAAUAUUUUGUCCAUGAAAAAAAUGCACUUACUGAUAAAUGGCUUAUUUCUGUUUCAGGAGUAGAAAGUGAAAAUUGAAACAGCAUUUUAAAGUGUAUUCUAAUUUUAUGUGUCUUCUAAGCAUUUCUGAAUAUAUAUUUUAUCCCUUUGUAUAUAACAAUUUUUUUGAGAAAAAUGAUUUUUGAAACUUAAAAUGAUGGGGUCACCAUGUGAAUGUAUGACAUAGGUGAUCUGUUUAAUCUGUUUUUGCAUUUUCCUAAUUACAACAUCUUAGCUUUGUUUCCAGAAUUGGAUUUUUUAGAUGCCAUUUUUGUAUGUUGAUUUUGUAAACUAUUUAAACUCUUUGAGUUAAUAAUGUAAACAUUGGGAAUAAUUUGGUCAAAUCUUUUAAAACUAGAUUGAUCAAAAUCUAUCCCCUUACAAAAUAGCAUACAAAAACAAUUCCUUUACCCAGAAAAUGAACAUUUGAAAUUGAUGGCUGAUUGUUGAACCACCCAACUAGUAAUGACUGUUACAAAUGAAUUAAAUGUUUUGUGUUUGAAUGUUCUGCUAGCAAAAACUAUAAAAUGAGAAAUGGUGGCUCCAGAAUCUUUUAAUAUUAUCAAGACAGCAUGGAAAAGGGUAAAUUUUGGGUUUUAAUGAUUCUUGUCUAUGCCUGCAUAAGCUUAACCCAUUAUGUUUCAUUGUCCUAUAUUUAGGACAUGUAUAAAAACUUGAUUGAGCACUAAAUAUACCACUUAUGGUAACUGUGAUAUAAAUAUGUCAUGGAAAUAUCUACAGAAUUGAAAACUUGGGAUUUAAUGGGUUAAUUGAAGCUGAUGCAAUAGUCCACUUUUCUAUGCAGGGUCUUCUAGGAGCAAGGGAUUUCUUUUUGAAUUUGGGAGAAGUAACACAAAAUGUGGACUCCAAAAAUUAAAAGUAAACACUAAGAUGGGGUCCUAGGCAAGGAAAUAAAAAUUGAACUAAUGACAACAUGUGGAUUAAAAUGAAAUAAAGUGGUUCCCCAAAGAAAUUCUGAGAAAAUGAGUAUUACAAAAGGAUGAGCCAGCUCUAUUAAGGAAAGGGUAAGGAAGCUAAAAUUCUUGGCUUUAUUAAUCUGGUAAGUUUGGAAAAGAUGAGUUAAAGAUUUUGUGGUUAAAGGUGGUUUUGUUUUGUUUUGUUUUGUUUUUAGAAUAUACCCUACCGAAAGGUUUACAAACAAAAUAUAUUUCAAUGGGAGGCUAUAUUUUAUGUGGGGGAAGACAAACAAAAAAUUUGUAAGCCUUUCCUGUACCUGUAUAAAAGGGAGGGGUAGGAUGGAGGAUAAAACAUCCUGCAGCAGAAACUUCAAAAAUAUCAGAGGUGAUGGGUUUGUAAGGACUGUUGCCUACACUCUCAGUAGCCUUCAAAACAAAAGUAUUACAGAAUGUUAAAGUUGGUUUAGUAAUUAUAUCUUCGAGAUACAUGAUCAUAGGCUUACGGCCUCACCAUAACUGAUCAUUGAUUGAAUUAGUAUUUAAAAGUCUGUUUUGGUUCCUUAGUGAAAAAACAAAGGAUUUUUUUUUCCUUUUUGAGUAGCUUAUUUUUUUAAAAAAAAAAAGUAAAUAUCACACUGUUCAGCUUAUUGUAAGCAUGUAUACAGAUCUUACUUUCUUUUACUAUAUUGAAACAAUUGCACAAAAUGUCAGUGCUUAGAUGUCCUAAGUGUUGGACAAUUCCAACCUAAUUUUACUCAGUUAUUUUUCUUUUCCUUUGUUAAAAGGAUUUCAUACUAAUUCAGUCUUAAAAUGGGAAAGAUUGAUGUUUUAAAAAUGAACACAUAGGUGCCCUGGAGUUUUCUCACUUGUACAUCUAUCAGGUAAUUAGAUUACUGCAUUGAAAACGUUAGGGAACUUUGAAGUGUGCUUCGGGAGUGUUCAGAAAUUGUGAUCAAAGGGAUCUCUGCUCAAGAGGUAAGGUAUGGCCUAGAGAGAAAUACGUUCAAUGUCUGAUGAUAAAGUAAACCACAACAGAUAGCCUUAGGUUUCUCAGACAGAUUUAGAAUUAGGAAAAGAAUUCUUGCUAAUAUUCUCUUCCAGAGAUGGGAAAUGGGUAAACUAUAAAUUUGUUUUUGUAUGAGCUUGAAGUAGAUUUAGAAAUACAUGCAGACAUGGUACUCUUGUGUAUGUGGUCUCUGAUAUUCCAAGGCAUCUCCUUUCUUUGCUCUCAGUGUUUAUCACUCUAAUUUAGUAUUUCUUAAACCCUGAGCACUUUAAAAGUGGGUUUUCCUUGAAAACUUGAGUACACAUUCCAUGAGAUUAUUGCCUGGCUUCAUUUUGGGUGUGUAUUUUUAUUCAAUGAUACCAGGAACUUAGAAAACAGUUGUUCAAGAAAGAACUUUUUAUUUUUAUUUGAGAAAUUCGAGUACUUUUAUGAACUUUCAUAAAUACUAAGGGAAAUAAUUAUAGAUUAAGAAAUAAUAUUGUUGCCUAGUAUAUAAAAUCAUUGAGAGGAAAAAGUUACACUCUCUAAGGAAUUUUUUUUUUUUUUUUAGAGGCAGUGUUACAGAGAGAGAAAGAGAGGUCUUCCAUCUGCUGGUUCACUCCUCAAAUGGCUGCAGCAGCCGGAGCUGGGCCCAUCCAAAGCCAGGAGCAGGGGUUUCUUUUGAGUUUCCCAUGUGGGUGUAGUGGCCAAAGCACUUAGGUCAUCUUCUAGUGCUUUCCCAGCCGUAGGAGAGAACUGGACUGGAGGAGGAACAGCCGGGACUCAAACUGGUGCCCAUAUGGGAUGCUGGUGCCAGAGGCAGAGGCUUUCACCCACUAAGCCACAGUGCCAGGCCCUCUAAGGAAUUUUAAGUAGGCUCUAAGAGUUGAUUGUUAGUAUAAUUCUUAUAUCUAAAAAUGAAGAAAAAUGUUGUACUGAAUGUUGAUGAGAUAAGAAAAUUGAUUAGGAUUUUUUCCCUAGGAUUAAAUUAUUAGUAUAACUAAGUUUAUGGUAACAUUAGAAAACACAGUAAUCGUCUAUCAUAUGUUUGAAUUCUUUUUAUAAGAACUGCAGCUCAUGGGCAUUUGGCUUUUAUUUAAAAUAAUUUGCUACUUACUCCACUUUUCCCUUCAUGUAGAACAAAAUAUUAAUACUCUUAUAAACUAGUGGUAGAGCUCAGCAUUUCAGGAGCUAGCGUUUUAUUGUUUAGAAUGUCUGCUGAUAAGAAAUUGAUCCAGAAUUUGCUCCUGUGCCAUUUUUUAUUUGAAAGAUACUUUAGAAGUUAUCUAGAUUUCUACCAUAAUUGUAUAUUACUAGAUGACUGAUAACCCCAAAAUAUCACAUUUCUAAUGUCACACCAUUGAUAAUACAUUUUAAGAUUCAAGUCUCAAGACCAACGGCUCAGAGAUCUGUACCACUUUGCUACCUCCUCUAGUUGAUCCCAGUUCUGGACAAGAGCAAAUUGUCAGGUUAAGUAUCUCCAGGUUCUUACCUGUUAGUCAUGAAAGGUUUUCGGAUCUUCUUUGAAUAUUAGUUUUCAUUGUUUAUCUUAGUGUUUGGCACUAAGCCAGCAUUAUACAAGUGUGCUUUACCUGGGCUGUUAGAACACAUGACCUUAUGUUCUGUUUGACCAGGAUACCCAUUCGACGUUACCCUUUGUUGAUCCAGUAAGGUGCUUAGUUUUAUGCAUGUUGAGAUUCUCUUAGGCAAAGACAUUAGUGAGAUGCAAAAUAUUUUGCUUGUAAAAAUGAGAUCAAUACUGUGUUUAUCCAAAGACUGAAAUACAUAGUUUAGUAAAAGAAAAAAAAUCAAGGUGAUAGUGAAGACUUUGGAAAUCUUUGUUACACAAGUACAAUCUCCCAUUUAUUUUUGGUUUUCUUAAUUCUGGCAUCAACAACUACAAACUUUAUUAGAUGACUUGUGUAAUAUGAGAUGUUAUUUUUUCAGGUUGUCCUUGCUAAUGUAAGGGUAACCAGGCCUAUUGGAACCAAAUGCAGCACAUGACUGGUGUUGAGAAGAAAAUGAACUUUGUUUCAUAACAUGAUUAAAAUUAAUAAAAGGCAGUACUUUAGUGGAAAAGUUUGGGAAAUAUACACGAAACAGCAGAAGACGAAGAAGUAGCUCUGGAAUUCUGAGGAUGUAGCCUAAAUUCUUAAGGAUAGUCUUGUACCUCAAAGUGUAGUGUUUGCUGUUAUAGCAGCUUGUUUUUUAUGUUUAGCAAUAUUUUUAAAAUUCCCAGUUAAAAUAUUUAGCUUUCUCCCUCCAAAUCAUAAAAUGAGCUCCAGAAAGACACAGGAUAUUUAUUUAAUAGUUGCACACACAUCUAUUUAAGAAGCAUUGUUAGAAAUGUGGUAUUCAGGUAGCCCACAGUAUCUGUGGGGAAUUGGUUCCAGGAUCUUCCAAGAUCCCCCAGGAUAUAAAAAUCUGCAGAUGGCUCCAGUCCUUUAUAUAAAAGGGUGCAGUAUUGGCUUAUAGCUGUACAUGUUUCCAUAUACUUUCCAAUUAUUUUGAAAUACUUACUACUUUGGAAAUGCCAUGUGAAUGGUUGUUAUCCUGAAUUGUUGAAAUAAUGGGAAAAGAAAGAUCUGUACGUAUUCAGUACAGGCACCAUUUAUUCCUCUUGUAUUUUCAGUCCUCAGUGUUUUGGAACUAUGGAUGCAGAGAGCUGGCUGUGUUUAAUCUUUCCUGAGUUAGAAUUUGGAGCAAACCAAGGAAGAACAAACAAACCUUUACAUGCCUUCCUGUGCGACUUCACUAGGUGCUUCACAUACAUUUAUACAAUUCAGCUACCUUGUAAGAAAAGUGAUAAGCUUUCCACUUUACACAUAAAGGUACUGAGGCUCAGAAGUCAACAAAGACUGCCCAAGGGCCUGUAAUGAACAAGCAGGUUCUGAAGAAUUCUGUUACACCAUUGAUUGCCAAUUGUCUUUAACAAAAGGCUGCAUAGUCUCAGGAAAGUUACAUAUAGAAUCUCAAAAUCUAAUGUGGAAAAGAUAAUUACUUGCUUAGUAUGCACUUUUAUAGAUUUUCUUUAAAAGAGCAAUUUUAAGGUUUAUAGGAAACUGAAUGAGAAUGGAGUUCCCCUGUGCCUCCUUCUACCUCUCAUAGUUUUCCCUGAUACCAUCUCGGAUUGAUGUGGUAAAUGUUUUUAAUUCAUGAGCCAAUAUUGGUAUAUUAUUAACUGUAGUCCCCAGUUUACAUUAGGAUUCACUAUCAGUUUUGCCAAACACAUGUCGUGUGUUUACCAUUACAGUAAUACAUAGAAUGGUUUAUCUGCCCUAGGAAUGCCUUGUGUUCCCUGCUGGUGUGAUUGCUGGCUGACUUGGUGAGCCUGUGCUAAGCAUGGUGUUGCAGGCUGCCCUGCCAUCUUCCCCAGUGGUUGUGCCAUUUUGCAUUCCCUCCAGGAGUGGAUGCUAGUUCUUUUGCCCCACAUUCUCACCAGCCUUUGGUGGUGUCAGUGAGUAUAGCCACUCUGUAAUAGCUAUCUUGUGGUAUCAUUUUGUUUGUUUGUAAUUGCCCAAUGAUGGGGGUUUGAGCAUCUUUUCAUAUGCUUAUUUACAAUCUCUGUUACUUUCUUCAGUGAGAUGUCUGCUCAGAUAGAUUUGUAAGUUCUUAAUUGUAUUUAGGAUACCAGUCUUUUAUCAGAUAGGUGUUUGACACAUGUCACCCAGACUGGCUUACCUUUUUAUUCUCUUACCUGUCUUUUGAACAGAAUUUUAAAUUUUACUGAAGUCUGCCUUCUCAGUUUUUUUCUUUCACGGAUCAUGGUUUGGGUGUUGUAUCUAAAAAACUCAUUGCUGGGGCCAGUGCCGUUGGCUCACUUGGUUAAUCCGCCUACGGCGCCAGCAUCCCAUGUGGGCGCCGGGUUCUAGUCCCGGUUGCUCCUCUUUCGGUCCAGCUCUCUGCUGUGGCUGGAAGGGCAGUGGAGGAUGGCCCAGGUGCUUGGGCCCCUGUACCUGCAUGGGAGACCGGGAGGAGGCUCCUGGCUUCAGAUGGGCACAGUGCCGGCCAUAGCGGCCAUUUGGGGAGUGAACCAACAGAAGGAAGACCUUUCUCUCUGUCUCUCUCACUAACUCUAUCUGUAAAAUAAAAAAUAAAAACUCAUUGCCAAACUCAAUCACCUAGAUUUUCUACAGUGUUAUUUAUCUUCUACAGUUUUCUUAAAGUUUUGCAUUAGAUUUAGAUCUAUGAUCUAUUUGGAGUAAAUUUUUGUGAAAUGUUUCUGUUUAAGUUGACUUUUUGGAGGCAAAGUAUGAAGUCUAUAGUUGUUCCAGCAUCAUUUAUUGGAAAAACUAUUCCUUCUACAGUGAAUUGGCUUUGUUCCUUUUUCUCAAAGAUUUUUUGAGUGUCCUUGUGGUUCUGCUUCUGGGGUCUCUAUUUCCAAUGAUUUGUUCUUUUGCCAAUACCAUUUUCUCUUGUCCUCUUGACUUUGUUCUUGCCAGUAUCAUGCUAGUUAUUCUGAAUAUUUUGCUUAUCCAUAUAGACUUUCAAAUCAGUAUGUCCACAAAAAGCAUACUAAGAUUUUGAUUGGGAUUGCAUUGCAUCUGCAGAUAAAGUUGGGAAGAAUUGAUCUUAAGAAAUAUUGAGUCAUCUUAUCCAUGAACAUGGAAUAUUUCUCUAGUUAUUUAGAUUUCUGACUUUUCAUCAGAUUUUUAAAUUUCUUAUAUAAAUAUUAGAUCAUAUUUUACUAGGUGUGAACUAAAUAUUUUUUUGUUAAUGUAAAUAGUAUUGGGUUUUAAAUUUCAAAAUCCAGUUGUUCAUUGUUGGCGUGUAGGAAAGGAGUCUACUUUUGCAUGUUAACCUUGUAUCUUGAAACCUUGCUGUAGUCAGUUAUUAAUUGCAGGAGUUUUUUCCUUGAUUCAUAGGAAUUUUGAAUAUGUGGAAUAAUUUUAUCUCUGAACAAAAUUUUAUUCUCACUCCAUUUUCAUUUCCUUUAUUAUACUAGUUAGGAUUACCCAAUGUAUUGUUGAAUAGGAGUAGCGGCAGGAGACUCCCUUGUUCUGUUGCCAAUACUAUGGAGAAGGCAUCUAGUUUCUCACGAGUAAGUAUGAUAACUGUGGGACUUUUCUAGAUAAUCCUCAUCAUAUUGAGAAGUUCCUCUCUGUUCCUGGUUUCUCACAAUGUUUAACCAGAAGUGGAUGUUGGAUUUUUUUUAAAUGCCUUUUCUUCAUUUAUUGAUGGGGUCAAAUGAUUUUUCUACUUUAGCAAGUUAAUAUAGAGGAUCAUAUAAGUUGACUUGGAUGUCAGCCAGUCUGGCAUUCAUAGAGUAAAUCCUAUUGGUCACAGUGUGUGUUUCUUUUUAUCAUCAUUGGAUUUCAUUUGUGAAUACGCAGUCAGAUUUUUUUACAUCAGUGAUCAUGAGAGAUAUUCUUCUGUAAUUUUCAUUUCUUGUAUUAUCUUUGAUUUUGGUAUCAGGGUAAUGCUGGCCUCAUGGAAUGAAGAGUUUUACCCUCCAUUUCUACUUUCUGAAGAGAUUAUAGGAAAUUGAUGUCAUUUCCAUAAAUAUCAGGUAGAAUUCACAAGUGAAAUCAUCUGAUGUAGGACUUUCUGCUUGGAGAGGUUAUUAUUGUUCAAUUUCUUUAAUAUAUAUAGGCCUGUUCAACUUAACUGUUUCUUGCAGUGAGUUUUGGCAAAUUGUAUCAUUUAAACAAUUCGUUCUUUUCACCCAAGUUAACAGAUUUGUUGACAUAGAAUUGAUCAUAAUGAUUCUUAUCCUUUUCAUGUUAAUGGUAUAAGUAAUUCAUUUUACUUGUGAUACUAGCUUUUUUUGUGUCCUUUUUUAUUGGUUAAGAUGAUCUGAUGUCUAUCACUUACUGAUCAAAGAAUGAGAUUUUGGUUUUGGCUUUUCACUUUGAGUUACAGUGAUUUUUUUUUUUUAAAGUUUAUUUCAGAGAGUUAAACAUCUAUCUGUGUAUAUCUAUACACACACACAGAUAUAUGGAGAGCGAGAGGGGGGAGGGGGAGGGAGGGAGAGAGAGAGAGAGAGAGAGAGUUAUAGAGUUGGAGAGAGUGUUAGUUUACACGGAUUGACUCCCCAAAUGCUUUCAGUGGCUGGCAGUUUGAAGCCCAGAGCCAGGAAGUCCAUUUCCAGUCUUCUACCUCUGGUUUUCCUAAGGUGGAAUUUAAGAUUAUUGAUUUUUUGGUCUUUGCUAAUCUAGGUUAUUCAGUGCUAUAAAUUUCCCUCUAAACACUGUUUUGGCUGUGUCCCCCAAAUUUUGGAAAUUACAUUUUCAUUUUUAUUAUUUGAAAUCUUUUAAAAUUUAUCUUGAACUUCAUAUCUGUGAUACUUAGAAGUGUUGAAUUUCUGAAUAUUCUGAGUAUUUCCAGCUAUCAGUGGUAUUGUGUCUGUGAUUUUUAGUUCAAUUUCCAUUGUGAUCUGAAAGCUGGGUAUCUGGUAACGUGUUUCACUGCCCAAAGUGUGGUCUGUUUGCUUAGUGUCCCAUGUGAGCCUGAGCAGUUCUGAUGUUGGAUGCAGCAUUCUGUUGAUGUCAGGUUGAUCCUGUUGAUGGUCUUAUUAAGUUCCAUUAAUAUCCUUUCUGAUUUUCUGCUUCCUGGACCUGUUAAUUACUGAUAAAAGGGUAUUUAAAUUUUUAACCAAUUCUCACAUUUUUAUCAGCUUUGCCUCACAUAUUUUUGAUGUUCUAUAAUUAGGCACACCUAUAAGGAUGAUAUUGCCUUCUUGGAAUAUUGAUCUUUUUAUCAUUACACCUCUUUAUCCCUGAUAAUUUUCCUUUUUUGAAAUUUGCUUUGUCUGAAAUUAAUACUGCUAUUCCUACAUUCUUUUGAUUGCUAAUAGCAGGAUAUAUGUGUGUCUGUUUCUUUUAUUGUGUAUGUGUUUUAUCCAACCUUGGACUUUUUUUUUUUUUGGUAAUCUUCAGCACAACUAUUAACCCGUCCCCUCAAGUUUCCGCUUGUAUUAGUGUGGUACAUUUGUUGCUGUUGAUAAACUAAUUUUGAUACAUAAAAGUUCAUAGUUUAUAUUAAGGUAUACUUUCUUUGUCCUAUAGUUCCAUGAAUUUUGCUAAAUCCAUAAUGUCACAUAUCCAUCAUUUUAUCUUACAGAAUAGUUUUUUUUUUUUUUUUAAUUUAUUUGAAAGGCAGAGUUACAGAGGCAAAGAGAGAGAGAGAGAGGUAGGAUGGUUGGUCAGUCAGUCGAUUGGUCUGUUGGUCUUGGGCCAUUUUCUGCUUUCCCAGGCCAUAGCAGAGAGCCAGAUCAGAAGUGGAGCAGCUGGGACCUGAACUGGCAUCCAUAUGGAAUGCUGGCACUGCAAGCGGCAGCUCCACCCGCUACACCACAGUGCCAGGCCCCAGAAUAGUUUUAAUUCCCUUAAUAAUACCCUGUGCUCUACAUGUUGAUCCUUCCUCAUCCCAGCUUCUGGCAACUGCUGUCUGUGUAGUUCUGCAUUUCCCAGAAUGUUAGAGAGUUGGAAUAAUAUAGUAUGUCGACUCUACAGACUGGCUUUUUCACUUAGCAAUUUGCAGUUUAGGUUUUUCCAUGUCUUUUCUUUUUUGGCUUGAUAGUUCAUUCCUUUUUAUUAUUAUAUAUGUCUGCCAUAGUUUAUCCAUCACCUACUGAAGGACAUCUUGAUCACGUCUCAUUUUUGGCAGUGUGAAUAAAGGCUGUUACCAACAUUUGUGUGUGAGUUCUCAUGUGGACAUUCAUGCUUCAGCCUGUGUACGUGCUUGCUGAAUCACAGAAGCCUGUGCCUAGCUUGGUGCUGCAGAGACUGCCCAGCUGUCUUCCAAAGAGGCUGUAUUGUACUGCAUGCCCCACAGCUAUGGAUGCUAGUUCUGUCGCUCUAUUUUCUCCCCGGUAUUUGGUGUUGUCAGUGUUUGAUUGUAGCCACGCUAAUGGGCGUGCGGUGGCAUCUCAUUUUAGCUUGUAAUUACCUGAUGGUUUACGAUGUUGAACAUCUUUUCAUUUACUUAUUUUCAAUCUCACUUUUUUGAUUAAUUCAUUUGGUGAGGUGUCUGCCAAGAUCUUUUGCCCAUUUAAACAAUGAAGUUAAUUUUUUAAUUGUUGAGUUUUGUCAGUGCUUAGUGUAUUUUGGAUACCAGUCUGUGUUUGACAGAUGUUAUCUCCCAGCCUGUGGCUUGUCUUUUCAUUCUCUUAACAAUGGCUUUUGCACAGGAGAAUUUUAAAUUUUAAUGAAGUGUACUUUUUCAGUAUUUUUCUUUAAUGGAUCUUGAUUUUAAUUUUAUCUAAAAACUCAUUGCCAAACCCAAGGUCACCUAGAUUUUCUUCAGUGUUACCUCCUAUAAGUUUUUCAGCAUUUUUGAGUUAUAAUUUAGGUAUUUCACCCAUUUUUGAGUUAAUUUUUGUAAAAGAUAUAGGGUCAUUGUUUAGAUAGAUUUUUUAAUUGGCUGUCCAGUUGUUCCAGUACCAUUUGUUGAAAAGACUUCUUUCUCCACUGCAUCACCUGUCUUCGGUUGUCAAAUAUGAGAUUUAACCCUAAAUCUGCCAUACCCAGCCACUUCUUGCCAUCUCCAAGCUACUGUCAUCUCUUGCCAGAACUAUUGGGUUAGCCCUUUCUGAGCUUGCUUUAUGUCUUGACUUCUGUUUUCUUGGUAGAAUGUGAUUUAUUCUAAUUUUAAAGUACAAGUUAAUACUCAUUUGCUUUUUUUGGUACAAAUAAUAAAUUCCAAGUUCUUUAUUAUAACCUGUGAGUUCCUAAUGAUCUGGCCCUACCCUCUCCUCCAGCUUUACCCUCUUGCCUCUCAUUUUUGUCUCUGAAGUUUUGACUCUUCUGCCUUGGGGAUUCAUGAUGACUGGAGUGCCUCUUCCCCCCGCUUUAGCUCUCGACUCAAAUAUUUCUUCUUCAGGCAUGGCUUUUCUAGAUGCUAUGCCUACUCUGACUUCAGUUUAACAUAACUUUGACUCUGUCCUAUUGUUUGUCACAAUUUAAUAGCAUAUAUUGCCUGACUUCCUGACACCAGGGUUCCUGUCUGUGCUGUUUUCUUACUUUUAGCAGUUGCCACGGUGGCUCUCACAUACUAGGCACUGAACAAAUAGUUUCUUUAAGAAGCCACAGGCAGCCUUUGAGGUGCCUAAAUGUAGUGCGUGAGGAAAUCCAUACAUAGAUAGGGAAAUCACAAUGCCAUUUCAGUGCUAGUGGUAGGUCUUGGAAAAUAAGCAAUGAAAGAUUAAAGGAAAAAACAAACCUUUUGGGUUCUUUCUCACUGGUGUGAACUAGUGAUUGUAGAUGUCAGUUUAUUGCCUAGAUAUUGAUACUGUGGGGUUAAGACAAUUCUAGGUCCAGAAGUCUCAGACUUAGGAUCUCAAGUGUCCCAAGAAACCAUGAAUCUGUGCUGACACUGCGGGUGUUCCAGGGGGUGGUCUGAAGCCCACUAAGUCCUAUAGCACAGUGAUUUAGAUUUUAGUAUCUGGCUCUGUCAAUCUCCUUGGGCAGGUCGUUUAAACGGUGCCUCAGUUUCCUCUGUGAAGAACCAAUAAGCAUGCCUACCUCCCAGGGUGGUACUGAUCAGUAAGUGGGCCAGUGUGUGGAAUGUACGUGCCAGACACUGCAGUAAACAUGGAAGAGCUUCCUGCGUUCUCCUGACUCAAGCAUGAAUAUGGCUGUGAGCCCAUCCCUUCCAGUGCACGCCAGGUCACGAUCCCAUCACCUCUGCUUUUUAAAUUCCUUCUCCACAUUUAACGUUUUCCUUUCAGCUAGAUCCCUCUCAGCUGGGUAGAGACAUAUUCAGGUCUCUGGAAGAAAAAACUUUAUAUGUAAUUCUAGUUACCGCCCCACCCUUCCUCUGUAUACCCAGACCUAAAAGAACUCUCCACAGUGUCCAUUUCUGCCUCCUUUCCUCCCUCUUCAGCUCACCUGGUCUUGCUUCCAACUCCAGUGACUUCACUGAUACACUACUACUGAAGUCAGUGGUGACUUUGUCACUAAAUCAGAUGAGCAGUUUUCCUGUCUAGUCUGAGAGGUGCCAUCUGCAGCAUUCAGCAAAACUGAUUGUGUUUUCUGCCGCUUUCGGUUCUGGGGGCUUCCCAGGCUGUGUGCUUGGUCAGUAUCUGUCAGUUCUUUAGACAUUCUCCCCAUACUGCAGAUUAGAUACCUUCCUGUGUUACCUGUCCAACUGCCUAUAGGUUUCAUUCCUUACUUGACAUCUCUUUGGGUGUCCCGAGAACACAGUGUUUUAUGAAUGUAACGAUCUUUCUGUGCCCUCAGAUCUGGGUCUCUCUUUGCAUGUCAUCCUCAGACAGCCUGCAUCCAGUUACAUGCUGGGAACCUAGGUGUUAACCUGCAUGUCUGUAUUCCUUAUGUCCCAAUCCAUCAUCCACUGCUGCUGUUUGGGUUUGAAAUAUCUCAGUGAUCUGUCCAUUUCUUUUCUUUCACUACCUAGCCCAGUGCAUUAUUUCUCAAUCUGAAAUACAGCAGUUCUCACUGCUAUCCUUGUACACAACCUUGCACUAAUCAGAUUCACUCUGACUGUGGGGCCUGGGUGCUGUUUGUCAACACAGUUAAUGAUGUUACCCCUUCAGUUAAAGCCUUCAUGUGGCUUCCCAUUGUUUUUAGGGUGUAUGAGUGGGGAGAAAGGCAAGAAUCCUUAUACAAUUUGUGAAAUCCUGAAAGAUCAAGUCCCAUUUUACCUCUGCAGUCCGGUCUUUGGCCACUUUUUGGUGUUUCUUGCUCUCUGUCUCUAGCUCACCUCAGAGGCACCUCCUGUGAUGUUUUUGAACCAGCAGGAUCACCAUGUAUGUAUUGGGCCAUUCAUUAUAGUCCUGGUUUUAAAUCUUUGCAUGCUGUUUCUUCUGUUAGCUACCAACCCCUAAGGAACCAAGGGUCUGGUUUUUGCUCACUGUUUCCAAUGCUUAGGAGCACAGUAACUUGCUUAUACCCUGCAUUUCACUGAAUUUUAAGAUGCCUUCCUUAAUUUUUUUUUUUACUAAGAAAAGAAAAUGGAGAAUGAAAUGCAAGGAGAAACCUGCUGUUAGAUGUAAAAUGUACUGUUUAGAAUCAAUGGAAGAUCACAGUAUUACUGAAUUUUCUAUAAAGCUGAAUUAAAUAUUUUCUCCUAACCCUUUGCUUGCCUAUGAAGGUAAGAGAAAUGUUACUGAGGAAAAAAAUUCAGAAUAUUUCUUUCUGGAUCCUGGCUCCUUGGGAAAAAAAAAAAAAAAAAGACCAAAAGACCGUGUAAUGACUUUACUGUGAAGGCCUUCUAGAACUAAAAAGUUAGAUGUCUUACUUUAAAAUAUUCAAACUUGUUUAGUUUGAUCUGAAGUGUAGGUUUGAGGUAAACUUUCUGAGUCGUGAUUUUUGUCUUGGAAUACUAUUUGGGAAGGUAUAUUUAGUGAUAGUUUAAGAAUAUCAAAGAUUUUUACGUUUAGGACAUUGUAUAAGUGAAUCAUCACUUGUUUUCUGGUCUUGCUUUCAUUUCAUUAAUUUACUCUAAUUCUCAUACUUUUGUUAGAGGAGGAUUAACUACUGCCAGCAUUUCUGUUUCCAUUCCUUGGUUUAGGAGGUUAUCCUCUCCACCAUUCUCAAAAGAGGCUGUUUCCCUAAUACAUUCAGUUCUUGUUCUGAUUCGAUUUAUACUGACACAAGAGAAAUUCAGAAUGGAAAAGUCAGCUUGCCAUGUAGCCUCGUAAUUUCUCAAAGGAAACUUUAAAAAUCUGAACAGGAACACUCUCUUGUGUCUGUCUAUAAGAAAAUAAAUUUUUAAAGUUGUAUAGUUUUAAGGCCUGUCUUACCUGUUUCUGUAGCCUGACGUUUGGUAGUUGGAAUAAA